This 352-nucleotide unclassified non-coding RNA is filed under the name Hevea brasiliensis (rubber tree). The record is from RNAcentral. Lineage: Eukaryota; Viridiplantae; Streptophyta; Magnoliopsida; Malpighiales; Euphorbiaceae.
AGUUUUAACACCGUUACAAUUUUAUAUUUGGCAGUUUUAUUAAUUUAGGGUACAAUUCUAUUAAUUUCUAAUUAUGUGGUUAAGGACAUGGUAUAAUUUCACUGUUGUUUACAGGUAUUUUAAAAAGGGUGAGCAAUUAAUUUGGUCGGUACCCAUCACUUUAUUUUAUUAAAAAGAGUGAGCAAUCAACUUAUAACUUGAUCUGGAUCCUAGAAAAAUGAAUCAUGAAAUCUAUUGAUUGAUAUAUUUAUUCCUAAAAAAGGGGGGGAUGAGGAGGGAGGUGGGGAAAGUCAAGUUGCAGGUUGGCCAACCAUUUUCAUUGACUCUUGUCUCUUGGGCUCUGCAAAAUAAA